This 279-nucleotide ribosomal RNA is filed under the name uncultured bacterium. RNAcentral's name for it is "partial 16S ribosomal RNA". It matches the Rfam family "Bacterial small subunit ribosomal RNA", at positions 506 to 784 of the family's 1533-position model. The record is from RNAcentral.
UGCCAGCCGCCGCGGUAAUACGGAGGGGGCUAGCGUUGUUCGGAAUUACUGGGCGUAAAGCGCGCGUAGGCGGACUGGUCAGUUGGGGGUGAAAUCCCAAGGCUCAACCUUGGAACUGCCUUCAAAACUGCCAGUCUUGAGUCCGGGAGAGGUGAGUGGAAUUCCUAGUGUAGAGGUGAAAUUCGUAGAUAUUAGGAAGAAUACCAAUUGCGAAGGCAGCUUUCUGGAUCAUUACUGACACUGAGGAACGAAAGCAUGGGUAGCAAACAGGAUUAGAUA